RNAcentral lists this ribosomal RNA (472 nucleotides) under uncultured Desulfocapsa sp. RNAcentral describes it as "bacterial SSU rRNA". It matches the Rfam family "Bacterial small subunit ribosomal RNA", at positions 916 to 1381 of the family's 1533-position model. The record is from RNAcentral. Lineage: Bacteria; Pseudomonadati; Thermodesulfobacteriota; Desulfobulbia; Desulfobulbales; Desulfocapsaceae.
GACGGGGCCCGCACAAGCGGUGGAGUAUGUGGUUUAAUUCGACGCAACGCGCAGAACCUUUACCUGGUCUUGACAUCCCGAGAAUUUUCUGGAAACAGAGAAGUGCCUCGCAAGAGGAAUUCGGAGACAGGUGCUGCAUGGCUGUCGUCAGCUCGUGUCGUGAGAUGUUGGGUUAAGUCCCGCAACGAGCGCAACCCUUGUCUUUAGUUGCCAUCAUUAAGUUGGGCACUCUAAAGAGACUGCCGGUGUCAAACCGGAGGAAGUGGGGAUGACGUCAAGUCCUCAUGGCCUUUAUGACCAGGGCUACACACGUACUACAAUGGCAGGUACAAAGGGCAGCCACUUAGCGAUAAGGCGCGAAUCCCGUAAAACCUGUCUCAGUCCGGAUUGGAGUCUGCAACUCGACUCCAUGAAGUUGGAAUCGCUAGUAAUCGCAGAUCAGCACGCUGCGGUGAAUACGUUCCCGGGCCUU